UUACCUUACAAAAGUACAUAGACUAAAAUUGGAACGAUACAGAUAUUAGCAUGGCCCAUGCGCGAGGAUGGCAUGCAAAAUCGUGAAGCGUUCCACAUUUUA
This is a small nuclear RNA of Penaeus chinensis, 102 nucleotides long. The record is from RefSeq and is a predicted model, not a curated record. Lineage: Eukaryota; Metazoa; Arthropoda; Malacostraca; Decapoda; Penaeidae.